This 593-nucleotide ribosomal RNA is filed under the name uncultured bacterium. Its description in RNAcentral is "partial 16S ribosomal RNA". It matches the Rfam family "Bacterial small subunit ribosomal RNA", at positions 355 to 1375 of the family's 1533-position model. The record is from RNAcentral.
UGGGGAAUUUUGGACAAUGGGCGAAAGCCUGAUCCAGCAAUGCCGCGUGUGUGAAGAAGGCCUUCGGGUUGUAAAGCACUUUUGUCCGGAAAGAAAUCCUUGGCUCUAAUACAGUCGGGGGAUGACGGUACCGGAAGAAUAAGCACCGGCUAACUACGUGCCAGCAGCCGCGGUAAUACGUAGGGUGCAAGCGUUAAUCGGAAUUACUGGGCGUAAAGCGUGCGCAGGCGGUUUGCUAAGACCGAUGUGAAAUCCCCGGGCUCAACCUGGGAACUGCAUUGGUGACUGGCAGGCUAGAGUAUGGCAGAGGGGGGUAGAAUUCCACGUGUAGCAGUGAAAUGCGUAGAGAUGUGGAGGAAUACCGAUGGCGAAGGCAGCCCCCUGGGCCAAUACUGACGCUCAUGCACGAAAAGCGUGGGGGAGCAAAACAGGAUUAGAUACCCCUGGUAGUCCACGCCCCUAAAACGAUGUCAACUAGUUGUUGGGGGAUUCAUUUUCCUUAGUAACGUAGCUAACGCGUGAAGUUGACCGCCUGGGGAGUACGGUCGCAAGAUUAAAACUUAAAGGAAUUGACGGGGUCAUAGCUGUUUCCU